UAAUGCGAACGCGUGCAACACUGCCAAAGCGAAAUGGCAGAGGAAUGGUGCUCGCGCACCUCUCAAGCGCAGGCAAUCGCGUCUGGCGGCACCACCGAACUGCGGCGCCAACUGUGAACAUCACUCGCAGGGUUUACGUACAGGUGCGGACAAAAGCAGCUGGAACACGGAAGCUAUGGCCGAACUGCAUCCCAACGCCCCCCAGCAGCUUGAGGAACCUUCUGGCAUGAACCGCCCGUCGGGACUGAGCGAGGAGUUGGCGCUGGUCGACUGACUAGAUCCGCCUUGGAGAUCGCAGCCUCCCACGUUUCAGUGAGAAGGUCUGGGCCUGCGUCUACUGCUGCUGCUGGUGGUUCUGUCGCUGUGAUGCUUCCUCGGGUGUGUUUGCGUUGCAGUCCAAGGGUCAACCGGGCCUCCCCGCACUGGAUCCUAGUAACAAGAAAAGAAGGCACCGACUACAGGCGACUUUCACGCAUAGCGCCUUAUUGCAUCAUAUCCAGCCGACGCUACACAGCUACACUUGUCCACAUUGCAACGUGCUGAACGCUUAUUUCUUAUUUUUAUUUUAUUAACAGCGCCUUAUGUAACACUCCUGCUUUGUGGUUCUUCAGGAAAUAAAAUGUAGUAACGCGAAGAAGGAAA
This is a long non-coding RNA of Dermacentor albipictus, 642 nucleotides long. RefSeq lists it as uncharacterized. NCBI's taxonomy places the organism in Eukaryota, Metazoa, Arthropoda, Arachnida, Ixodida, Ixodidae. The record is from RefSeq and is a predicted model, not a curated record.